Molecule: small RNA, 28 nt
Filed under: Bombyx mori (domestic silkworm)
Lineage: Eukaryota; Metazoa; Arthropoda; Insecta; Lepidoptera; Bombycidae
Description: piRNA piR-bmo-2127840
Source: RNAcentral
UCAAACUGUCAAAAUAAUGGUCCUUUAG